This 461-nucleotide ribosomal RNA is filed under the name uncultured Curtobacterium sp. RNAcentral describes it as "bacterial SSU rRNA". It matches the Rfam family "Bacterial small subunit ribosomal RNA", at positions 920 to 1382 of the family's 1533-position model. The record is from RNAcentral. Lineage: Bacteria; Bacillati; Actinomycetota; Actinomycetes; Micrococcales; Microbacteriaceae.
CCCGCACAAGCGGCGGAGCAUGCGGAUUAAUUCGAUGCAACGCGAAGAACCUUACCAAGGCUUGACAUACACCGGUAACGCCCAGAGAUGGGUGCCCCUUUGUGGUCGGUGUACAGGUGGUGCAUGGUUGUCGUCAGCUCGUGUCGUGAGAUGUUGGGUUAAGUCCCGCAACGAGCGCAACCCUCGUCCUAUGUUGCCAGCGGGUCAUGCCGGGGACUCAUGGGAGACUGCCGGGGUCAACUCGGAGGAAGGUGGGAUGACGUCAAAUCGUCAUGCCCCUUAUGUCUUGGGCUUCACGCAUGCUACAAUGGCCGGUACAAAGGGCUGCGAUACCGCGAGGUGGAGCGAAUCCCAGAAAGCCGGUCUCAGUUCGGAUUGGGAUCUGCAACUCGACCCCAUGAAGUCGGAGCCGCUAGUAAUCGCAGAUCAGCAACGCUGCGGUGAAUACGUUCCCGGGCCUU